GUCCCCAAACUAUGCUGCCAAGGCCAAUUUGAUACCCAAACUCUCAAAAGUAUCAAUGUGAUACCCAAACACGUAUUUUGACAUCAAUGUGAUACUUCCGUCAAAAAUUCCUAACGGGGCCGUUUGUUUGCUGACGUGGCAAGCACGUGGGGUCUCAAAAAAAGUAAAAUGACCAAUUUACCAUUUUUUAAUUCAUUUUUUUCUUUUCAUUUAUUUUUCUUUUUUCUCUUCUUCUUCUUCUUCUUCUUCUUUUCAUUUCUUUUUCUUCUUUCUCUUCUUCUUCUUCUUCUUCUGGGAUUUUCCUCUAGCCAAACCGUUGCAAGCUCCGCCACCACAUUUCCUUAAUUACCUGACAACGUCAUCAGCCACCCACCUCAUUUUUUUUUUUUUUAAAUCUUCUUCUGGGUCUGCUUCUUCUUCGAGCUCGGUGGUUGGAUGCUGAGAAAUUGAAGAGGAUGGGUUGGGUUGGAGGCGGCGGCCGUGGAGGGUGAUAGGAGAAGCGGAGUUAGGCAGGGAUCGGGAGUUGGGGUUGGCAGCGAGGUCGAGGCAGGAGAAUGGGAACUGUCGUCAAGGUCGCCGCUGCUGCACCAAAAUCGAAGGCCAAGGCCAAGCCCGAAGCAAACGCCGAACCAAUCAACCCCAAGAGAAACGUGAAUAGGAACGUCGGCAUUCUGAAGCCAACAUGAGGGAGAUCAUUCGCAAUAACCAGCUGAGUUGUUUGAACUUUUUUUUUUUUGGCAGUCGGAGUUGUUUGAACUUUGAAGGGAAGGAAUGGGUCAACUUUUUGGAGAUUGGGAAGUUGCUUUCGCGUCAUUUUGUGAAGGCCGAGUGAAUGAGAAUCAUCUUUUGGUUAUUAUAUUGUGUAAAAGUAGGAAAAGGUCCGCACGGUUCUUUUGAGACCGCAAGUAGGGGUUUUUUAAUUGAUAUUUAGUGGUGAAUGUAUAAAAGUAAUUAGAUUAAACAUUAAAAACAAAAAAAGAAGAAGUCAUAUUUGUGUGCAGCCCACGCCCCACUGCCCACUAGCCCAUGCUUUUUAACCCAAAAACAAUAAACAAAUACCCAACAAUAAAAAACUCCCUUUGCUGUAACCAAAAAAAAAAAAAACUCCCUUUGUUCAUCCCGAAUCGGGAUUUCCAGUUCAUCUUCAUCACUUCCCCAAUUUCCAGUUCCAAUUUCUUCCCCAGAUUCUUCCCCAAUAUAGAUAGCUUUGCUGUUUUCUUACUCUGUAAAGGAACCGGUUACAAGCUAUAACUGAACCGAAAAACACGGUUUCCGGCAAAAAAAAAGGACGACACCAAACCGGAAAAAAUAUAUCGGUUUCGGUUUCGGGCGAUGAAGUUGGUCUGGAUUUGGAGGUUGAGGGCGAUGAAGUCAGCCGGGUGGUGUUGGUGGCGCGGAUGCCGCCGACUUUAGCAGCGGCGAGGAUUACGAAUUGGGGCUUUUCGGCGGCGAAGAAGGACUCGACGUCGUUUUAGCGUGUGAGGUCGAGGUUGGUGUGGGUGUGGAGGAAGAGGUUGGUGAAACCUAAGGACUGGAGCUUGCGGACGAUGGCGGAGCCUAAUUGGAGAGGAUAUCGGCGGGGUUAGUGAUGGUUUGGGUGGUGGAGAAGGAGAGGAGAGAGAGGAGGUGGAGAGAGAAGAAGAAGAGUCAGGUUGAAGAAGAAGAAGAAGAAAAAGAAAUGAAAAGAAAAAAAUAAUAAUAAAAAAAGAGGGUAAAAAGUCCAUUUUGCCCUUUUAUUUUUUGCCCACGUGCUUGCCACGUCAGCAAACAAACGGAGCAGUUGGAUUUUUUUUACGGAAGUAUCACGUUGAUGCCAAUAUAGGUCUUUGGGUAUCACAUUGAUACUUUUGAGAGUUCGGGUAUCAAAUUGGCCUUGGCAGCAUAGUUUGGGGACGGUACCUGAAUUUUUCUCUAAUUAAUAACUAUACUAAAGGAAGGUUUUUGGUACUGUAGCUUUAGAACAGUGACCUGACUUUUGUGUCCCUGCAUUCUCUCUGAUUUUUCAAUUGGUUGCCCUGCGUGCGCUUUUACGGGAAUGUCCUCUCGACCCGGCCGUCUGCAACCCUGCUUCUGCCGUGGCAGCACGUGUUUGAUCUAGAGAGAGGUGGGGAGGUCGUGGCAACCUGUGCAUUAUCCAAAGAAAGGUGGAGGCAGUGAUAGGGAGGGCUCGACUCUCCCUCUCACUGACGAGAAUGGCAAACCCUCCAUUCUCACCGAUCCUUCGCUCUCCUUCUUCCACGAUUACCUCGAAAGUGUCAGAUGCCUUCCUAUGCUAGCAAGAAUGAAGAUUGGAAGCCGAUGCAAUCUCUCUUUCUCUUUCGCCCUGUGAUUUCUAUUGGGACAUGAUGUACAUGUGUUUGAUUGAAGAGUUUUGUGAGCGUGGAGAAGCUAUGUAGUGUAGAUAAAUUUGGAGCUUCUGGGAUUUGAAGAAGGAAGAAGGAAGUACUAAAACAAAGUGAUUGAGGAACGAAAGUUGUGUUUUUGUUUGAUCAAGAUGUUGUUAUCUAUUGAAUGAUUUGACACUGGAUGAGUUGAGGAGCGAAUGUUCAAGUUAUGAAGAUUUGUUCAGCCAAAAAAAAAAAACAAGUUAUGACGAUUUGUAGGACUGCCUCUAUCUUCAAGGUCGUCAAGCAUAUUGGC
This is a long non-coding RNA of Rosa rugosa (rugosa rose), 2640 nucleotides long. RefSeq lists it as uncharacterized. The transcript is spliced from 3 exons. NCBI's taxonomy places the organism in Eukaryota, Viridiplantae, Streptophyta, Magnoliopsida, Rosales, Rosaceae. The record is from RefSeq and is a predicted model, not a curated record.